GACGAACGCUGGCGGCGUGCCUAAUACAUGCAAGUAGAACGCUGAAGGAGGAGCUUGCUUCUCCGGAUGAGUUGCGAACGGGUGAGUAACGCGUAGGUAACCUGCCUGGUAGCGGGGGAUAACUAUUGGAAACGAUAGCUAAUACCGCAUAAGAGUAGAUGUUGCAUGACAUUUGCUUAAAAGGUGCAAUUGCAUCACUACCAGAUGGACCUGCGUUGUAUUAGCUAGUUGGUGGGGUAACGGCUCACCAAGGCGACGAUACAUAGCCGACCUGAGAGGGUGAUCGGCCACACUGGGACUGAGACACGGCCCAGACUCCCACGGGAGGCAGCAGUAGGGAAUCUUCGGCAAUGGACGGAAGUCUGACCGAGCAACGCCGCGUGAGUGAAGAAGGUUUUCGGAUCGUAAAGCUCUGUUGUAAGAGAAGAACGAGUGUGAGAGUGGAAAGUUCACACUGUGACGUAUCUACCA
RNAcentral lists this ribosomal RNA (471 nucleotides) under Streptococcus mitis. Its description in RNAcentral is "bacterial SSU rRNA". It matches the Rfam family "Bacterial small subunit ribosomal RNA", at positions 28 to 485 of the family's 1533-position model. Lineage: Bacteria; Bacillati; Bacillota; Bacilli; Lactobacillales; Streptococcaceae. The record is from RNAcentral.